GUCUCCGUAGCUCAGUUGGUAGAGCAGCCGCCUCUUAAGCGGCGGGUCGAUGGUUCGAGUCCAUCCGGGGACACCG
This 76-nucleotide transfer RNA is filed under the name Rhodococcus sp. ACS1. RNAcentral describes it as "tRNA-Lys". It matches the Rfam family "tRNA". Rfam says of the family: Transfer RNA (tRNA) molecules are approximately 80 nucleotides in length. Their secondary structure includes four short double-helical elements and three loops (D, anti-codon, and T loops). Further hydrogen bonds mediate the characteristic L-shaped molecular structure. tRNAs have two regions of fundamental functional importance: the anti-codon, which is responsible for specific mRNA codon recognition, and the 3' end, to which the tRNAs corresponding amino acid is attached (by aminoacyl-tRNA synthetases). tRNAs cope with the degeneracy of the genetic code in two manners: having more than one tRNA (with a specific anti-codon) for a particular amino acid; and 'wobble' base-pairing, i.e. permitting non-standard base-pairing at the 3rd anti-codon position. Lineage: Bacteria; Bacillati; Actinomycetota; Actinomycetes; Mycobacteriales; Nocardiaceae. The record is from RNAcentral.